AUACCCUUCAAUAUGAAGAAGUGAAAAUGAAACCAUAAGUCCAUGGACACAUGGGAGACAGACGAAUUUCUGUGACCUAGGACUGAACCCACAAUACCGCUGAACUAUGUAUGUGUGUCACAGGAGCACUCAGAUCUGGAACAGAUGGAUCAGAGACACUGGGUUUCUCUUGCUACUGUAUAGCUGCCAAAGAGUGGCCUCUUUUUAUCCUGACUAGUCAUCCUUGAAUUUGGAGUUGUCCAUGAAGUUCUUCUACUGUCCAGAAAGAGGGCGCACACUUCCUUAGUUCCCAUCAGCGUGGUGGGAAAGAUUCCUACAGAGGCUGAAGAAAUAACAUUCUGGUGCUUUUUAAUGCUUAUCAAUGCAGAUCUUUCACCUGGGGAGCAAUCUGUUGUUCCCACUACAAUAAAAAAUAUGGAGUUUCUUUGAUAAAAAAUCUUAAUUUGUCUCUCCUUCUCCUUCUUCUUCCUCUUCCUUGCUGGAAGACAUGCAUGUCUGGC
RNAcentral lists this long non-coding RNA (500 nucleotides) under Homo sapiens (human). Its description in RNAcentral is "HSALNT0264215". The record is from RNAcentral. Lineage: Eukaryota; Metazoa; Chordata; Mammalia; Primates; Hominidae.